GACGAACGCUGGCGGCGUGCUUAACACAUGCAAGUCGAACGAUGAAGCUAGAGCUUGCUCUGGUGAAUUAGUGGCGAACGGGUGAGUAACACGUGAGUAACCUGCCCCGAACUCUGGGAUAACUGCUGGAAACGGUAGCUAAUACUGGAUACGACCUACGAAGGCAUCUUCUGCAGGUGGAAAGAAUUUCGGUUCGGGAUGGACUCGCGGCCUAUCAGCUUGUUGGUGAGGUAAUGGCUGACCAAGGCGACGACGGGUAGCCGGCCUGAGAGGGUGACCGGCCACACUGGGACUGAGACACGGCCCAGACUCCUACGGGAGGCAGCAGUGGGGAAUAUCGCACAAUGGGCGCAAGCCUGAUGCAGCAACGCCGCGUGAGGGAUGACGGCCUUCGGGUUGUAAACCUCUUUUAGUAGGGAAGAAGCGAAAGUGACGGUACCUGCAGAAAAAGCACCGGCUAACUACGUGCCAGCCGCCGCCGUAA
RNAcentral lists this ribosomal RNA (484 nucleotides) under uncultured bacterium. Its description in RNAcentral is "partial 16S ribosomal RNA". It matches the Rfam family "Bacterial small subunit ribosomal RNA", at positions 28 to 523 of the family's 1533-position model. The record is from RNAcentral.